This 467-nucleotide ribosomal RNA is filed under the name uncultured bacterium. RNAcentral's name for it is "partial 16S ribosomal RNA". It matches the Rfam family "Bacterial small subunit ribosomal RNA", at positions 28 to 507 of the family's 1533-position model. The record is from RNAcentral.
GAUGAACGCUGACAGAAUGCUUAACACAUGCAAGUCCACUUGAAUUUGGGUUUUUAACUUAGGUUUGGGUGGCGGACGGGUGAGUAACGCGUAAAGAACUUGCCUCACAGCUAGGGACAACAUUUGGAAACGAAUGCUAAUACCUAAUAUUAUGAUAAUAGGGCAUCCUAUAAUUAUGAAAGCUAUAAGCGCUGUGAGAGAGCUUUGCGUCCCAUUAGCUAGUUGGAGAGGUAACGGCUCACCAAGGCGAUGAUGGGUAGCCGGCCUGAGAGGGUGAUCGGCCACAAGGGGACUGAGACACGGCCCUUACUCCGACGGGAGGCAGCAGUGGGGAAUAUUGGACAAUGGACCGAGAGUCUGAUCCAGCAAUUCUGUGUGCACGAUGAAGUUUUUCGGAAUGUAAAGUGCUUUCAGUUGGGAAGAAACAAAUGACGGUACCAACAGAAGAAGUGACGGCUAAAUACGUG